AGUCUUAUAGUUUUUAAAAAUAUUAAAUUGCAAAUUUAAAGAUGAUAAAAAUAAAAUAUCUAAGACUU
Molecule: transfer RNA, 68 nt
Filed under: Nephotettix nigropictus
Lineage: Eukaryota; Metazoa; Arthropoda; Insecta; Hemiptera; Cicadellidae
Description: tRNA-Cys
Source: RNAcentral